Molecule: long non-coding RNA, 1022 nt
Filed under: Bos indicus x Bos taurus (hybrid cattle)
Lineage: Eukaryota; Metazoa; Chordata; Mammalia; Artiodactyla; Bovidae
Description: lncRNA (ENSBIXG00005002356.1)
Source: RNAcentral
AUGCUAUUUUAUCAGACGACGCACUUGUUCACCUUGAUGAGAAGCCACUGUUUUCACAACUAUGCAAACCCUCCCGCCUUCGCCUCCGCGCUCCAUCUCCCGCACAGAUUUUUCUUUGUACCAGAACCACAAUAUCCAACCUCUGGUUCAAGAUCUGGACAACUCACCUCUCUCUGCGCCAACUCUUGUUCCAGAGACCCUCCAGCCCCCCUCAUUCUCAGAGCCGUUCCUGAAGACUGUCUAGACUCUCCGUUCUCCUGCACACCUUCCCCGCCUUCAGCAGCAGCACAUUCCUUCAGCCCCUCCACCGAGCUCUUUAAAACGAAAGGCAGUUGCUGUCUUCCCGUGGACAAUACUGAAUGUAUCUUCUGUAAGUGCAGACCAUGUAGAGAAGUGGCUGGGUUCAUCAAAAAAAAAAAAAAAAAAAAAAGGGUUUUUGUAAAGCCUGUUUAUUUUUUUAAGUCGGUUUUGAGCAUUUCUAUUUUAUCACCCUUCACAUGGUCUUGGGGAACCCAAAUUGUAUCAAAGUCUCAUGCCAAAACAAGCCAAAAGUUGUUUUCUUUACCUUUUUCCUCCAUGCACCAUGAUUUAAAUGAUUGUUUCAGUGUCAUUUUAAAUGUUUUCUUGUGACAUGUACUGACGAUAAAAAUCAUCUUGACAAAAAAAAAAAAAGAUUUAUACAUGAAUCAGAAAGUAUUUAUUUCAAUUUUGUACCUUUCCAUUUUAAUACAUUAUAAUGUAUUGACUCAACUGAGAUAAUAUAAACAGUUCAUUUUAAUAACAUGUGUGUACGUGUGCCUUUUCCUUUGUUUACGGUGGGGGAGGGACAGAGGAGCACGGAGUGGAAAAUCCUGGGUGCUUAUUAGCAGCCCUGUCAGCCUCAGUGGCCUCUGACUGGACCAAAGGCUUCUCAGCAGCAGCUGGUGACCCCCGCCCCCAGAAGAGGAAGAGAGGUGACAGGGGAAUUAAGGAGGUAAGUGGGUGGGCCCUCUGGGCAUCACUGCCUCCUAACACCACCACCC